RNAcentral lists this ribosomal RNA (423 nucleotides) under uncultured bacterium. RNAcentral's name for it is "bacterial SSU rRNA". It matches the Rfam family "Bacterial small subunit ribosomal RNA", at positions 362 to 776 of the family's 1533-position model. The record is from RNAcentral.
UUUUGCGCAAUGGGCGAAAGCCUGACGCAGCAACGCCGCGUGAGUGAUGAAGGUUUUCGGAUCGUAAAGCUCUGUCAGAGGGGAAGAAACUCCCAGGUGUUAAUAUCGCCUGGGCCUGACGGUACCCUCAAAGGAAGCACCGGCUAACUCCGUGCCAGCAGCCGCGGUAAUACGGAGGGUGCAAGCGUUGUUCGGAAUUAUUGGGCGUAAAGCGCGUGUAGGCGGUUGGUUAAGUCUGAUGUGAAAGCCCUGGGCUCAACCCGGGAAGUGCAUUGGAAACUGGCUAACUUGAGUACGGGAGAGGGUAGUGGAAUUUCGAGUGUAGGGGUGAAAUCCGUAGAUAUUCGAAGGAACACCGGUGGCGAAGGCGGCUACCUGGACCGAUACUGACGCUGAGACGCGAAAGCGUGGGGAGCAAACAGG